UGGAUGNUGAUCUAUUUUGGAAUUUCCAAAGUAAUGGAGACAGGCUUCAAUGUGGGGAUUGAUGGCCCUUGCCAUUUUUGUGUCUUUAAUGAUUAUUUAUGAUCAAACUAUGAUAUGGAAUGAUAUGAAAUUUUACUUGCUUUUACUUUACAUAUACUAUAGUUUGAAUCUUUUCAUUCCGCUAAUCCAAGUUUUAUGGAUUCACAAUUUUCCCAGCUAAUACAUAACCUGGCUGAUUUACAGGACUUGAA
RNAcentral lists this long non-coding RNA (251 nucleotides) under Vigna radiata. RNAcentral's name for it is "long non-coding RNA (VRAD_LNC013403)". Lineage: Eukaryota; Viridiplantae; Streptophyta; Magnoliopsida; Fabales; Fabaceae. The record is from RNAcentral.